AGUUAUGUUCUUGAAACUUAAAAAAUUUGGCGGUAUUUUAGUCUNNNNNNAGGAACCUGUCCUGUAAUUGAUAAUCCACGUUGGACCUUACUUAAGUUUGUUAAUCAGUUUGUAUACCGUCGUUAUAAGAAUAUUUUAUUAGAAUAAUAAUUUUCUAGAAUUUUUAUAAAAAUUGAUAUCAGAUCAAGGUGCAGCUAAUGUUUAAGUAGAGAUGGGUUACAAUAAAAAUAUUUAAAUGAAUUAAUUUUUGCAAUAAAAUUAUGAAGGUGGAUUUGAAUGUAAAAUUAUAAAGAUUAAUAAUUUGAUUUUAGCUCUAAAAUAUGUACAUAUCGCCCGUCACUCUUAUUAUUAAGGUAAGAUAAGUCGUAACAUAGUAGAUGUACUGGAAAGUGUAUCUAGAAUGCAAUUUAAAGCUUAAAUAGUAAAGCAUUUCAUUUACAUUGAAAAGAUUUUUGUGCAAAUCAUUAUAAGUUGAUUAAAUUUUAUUUAUUAAUUAUUUUAUUUAUAUAAUUUUUAUAUUAGAAAUAUCUUUAAAAAUUAAAGUUUUAGUAUUUUAUAAAGAAAAAAUAAUUUUUAUAAUAGUGUAUUAGUAUUGUGAAAGAAUAUUGAAAU
RNAcentral lists this ribosomal RNA (612 nucleotides) under Meroplius fasciculatus. RNAcentral describes it as "partial 12S ribosomal RNA". The stretch from base 404 to 475 matches the Rfam family "tRNA". Lineage: Eukaryota; Metazoa; Arthropoda; Insecta; Diptera; Sepsidae. The record is from RNAcentral.